AAGACCAAGCCUCACACUACAGCUGGUGUGAAUGGGGCGGCAGAGGAGGUGGGCAGAGGGAAGAGAGGGGUCUCAGAGGGGUCACUGAGUCACUAAGCACGAGGAGGUGGGUGGAACAGCAGGGCUGUUCUGUCCCCUCUCUGUGCAUGUGGCUACUCAGUCCCCUCAGGGGGCUGGGAUGUAGGUCUCCCUGGGCCCUUGUUUUAUAAAUGAGGGCUAGAAGAACCAUGAACACACCCAGGAUUUGAACAGGCACCCAAAGCCUGCCAGCAGGAGCUCCUCACCUCAGGCCCGCCCUGGCCUGCAGUCCAGUGUCAAUCUAGCCUAUCCCCACUUGCUCCCAGAACCCCAUCGGCAUCUGACGACAAGGAUAACAACAGUGCUCUCCAGACAACAGCAUGAGACAGGUGGCCUGGCCAGCAGAAGCAGGCGCACAGGUGGAGGAGACCUUGAGUUGUGGUUGGCCCAGUCUCUCUGCAGUCUCUGCUCUGUUCCUCCUUCAUUUGAUGGCUCGCACCACUGGGUGGUCCUCUUGGACUUAAGCUGGCAGUGUUUCAUCUCUGGCAUGGGUAGCUGGAGACACAGUCCAACCCUCAGCAACCAGCCAGGACCACAUCCUCAGUGGAUGUGGGGCAUUGUUGGCCUCCCUGGGGCAGCCCCCUGACCUUAUCCCACUUCUAACACAGCUUGAACGUUUCACAUGAGUCUACUUACUUGUCUUCCUCCCUGUCCCCAAAACGGUCGGCUUAGAGGGUAGACUCUACCCAGUGAAGAGAAGUACCAAAAUGGCGUCACUUGUGUCGAACUCUGAGAAUGUGAAACCAGGGAAGGUCAUGAGGGGGCACUCUCUUAUAUGUGCCAAAGAGCAAGAAUUAUCUAGCACAAGAGACUGCCAGAUCCACAGUCCAACAAGAAGGCCUCCAUGCCUCACACAGAACAUCAAGGACAUCUAGGCUCAGCAUAAUGGACUGUCCAACAUGGACUGAACCUCUCAGCCAAGGAUAAUUGCUUCAAGACAACUUACGUAACCCUCUUUUUUUUUUUUUUUACCUUUUAGAACCUUCAUCAGGCUGGGAGUGUGGCUAGGUGGUAGAACAGUUGUCUAGCAUGCACAAGACUCUGGGAUUCUGCCCCCACCAGUACACAAUAAACAGAAGCAAAACUCUC
Peromyscus eremicus (cactus mouse) is the source of this 1167-nucleotide long non-coding RNA. RefSeq lists it as uncharacterized. The record is from RefSeq and is a predicted model, not a curated record. Lineage: Eukaryota; Metazoa; Chordata; Mammalia; Rodentia; Cricetidae. The transcript is spliced from 2 exons.